RNAcentral lists this ribosomal RNA (506 nucleotides) under uncultured bacterium. RNAcentral's name for it is "bacterial SSU rRNA". It matches the Rfam family "Bacterial small subunit ribosomal RNA", at positions 791 to 1301 of the family's 1533-position model. The record is from RNAcentral.
UAGUCCACGCCGUAAACGAUGAUUACUCGCUGUAGGCGAUACACAGUCUGUGGCUAAGCGAAAGUUUUAAGUAAUCCACCUGGGGAGUACGAUCGCAAGAUUGAAACUCAAAGGAAUUGACGGGGGCCCGCACAAGCGGAGGAACAUGUGGUUUAAUUCGAUGAUACGCGAGGAACCUUACCUGGACUUAAAUGUAGAUUGCAUAGCUUAGAGAUAGGCUUUUCUUCGGACUAUUUACAAGGUGCUGCAUGGUUGUCGUCAGCUCGUGCCGUGAGGUGUCGGGUUAAGUCCCAUAACGAGCGCAACCCCUAUCCUUAGUUGCCAGCGGGUCAUGCCGGGGACUCUGAGGAGACUGCCACCGUAAGGUGUGAGGAAGGUGGGGAUGACGUCAAAUCAGCACGGCCCUUAUAUCUAGGGCUACACACGUGCUACAAUGGGAUAGGACAAAGCGCAGCUAACUCGCGAGAGUGUGCCAAUCGCAAAAACCUACCCUCAGUUCGGAUUGG